Molecule: long non-coding RNA, 2972 nt
Organism: Cyprinus carpio carpio
Lineage: Eukaryota; Metazoa; Chordata; Actinopteri; Cypriniformes; Cyprinidae
Source: Ensembl
AGUCACCUUUAUUUAUAUAGCGCUUUAAACAAAAAAGAUUGCGUCAAAGCAACUGAACAACAUUAAUUAGGAAAAUAGUGUCAAUAAUGCAAAUGACAGUUAAAGCCAGUUCAUCAUUGAAUUCAGUGAUGUCAUCAUGCAGCUCAGUUCAGUUUAAAUCGUAUCUGUGCAAUAAUUUCAUCAAAAACAAGUCAACGAUAUCGCUGUAAAUGAAGUGUCCACAACUAAGCAAGCCAGAGUCGACAGCGGCUGUAGCAAAGUCAGAUUGUGCAGAAGAAUCAUCUGUUUCCUGUGUUCUUGUCCCAGUGGUCGUCUGAGACAAGGUCUUUACAGGGGAUCUGUCUCUGGGGCUCUAUUUGUCCUGGUCUCCGCUGUCUUUCAGGGCUGUAGAGGUCCUUUCUAGGUGCUGAUCCACCAUCUGGGCUGGAUACGUACUGUAUCCGGGUGACUGCAGUGACCCUCUGACUUGGAUACAGACUGGAUCUGGUGGCUAUGGUGACCUUGGAAUAAGAGAGAAACAGACUAAUAUUAGCGUAGAUUCCAUUCUUCUAAUGAUGUAGCAAGUACAUGAGGUGUUAUGGGAAGUGUUCCCGGUUCCGGUUUACCUAAUUAAUGCAGCCUAAAAAUCGGAUUUGGAUAUUAGAAGCGUAGUAGUGUGCUAUGUGUAAGCCAGGUUAAAAAGAUGGGUCUUUAAUCUAGAUUUAAACUGCAAGAGUGUGUCUGCCUCCCGAACAAUGUUAGGUAGGUUAUUUCAGAGUUUGGGCGCUAAAUAGGAAAAGGAUCUGCCACCCGCAGUUGACUUUGAUAUUCUAGGUAUUAUCAAAUUGCCAGAGUUUUGAGAACGGAGCAGACGUGGAGGGCUAUAAUGUAACAAGAGCUUGUUCAAAUACUGAGGUGCUAAACCAUUUAGGGCUUUAUAAGUAAUAAGCAAGAUUUUAAAAUCUAUACAAUGUUUGAUAGCAAGCCAGUGCAGUGUUGACAGAACCGGGCUUAUAUGAUCAUACUUCCUGGUUCUAGUAAGAACUCUAUCAAAUAGCACACCUAGGUUCUGUCGUGGAAAUUCUAAUUCAAUAACAAUUUGUAGAGACUGAGAAUGAAACACAGAGAAUGAUCUGGUUUACACACAGCUUGAGUCUGUGUGCAAAGAGAUAACACACAGACUCACAGCACACUUUUUAUAGUAUGUAAAAAGAUACAUUGAAGGACAGAUUAGGACCUUUGAGCCAAUCAUGUUGCUCAGUGCACAUCACCCCAUAACACAUGCACAUCUCAUGCACAUUACAUGGUAAAUGUCUGGUUACACUCAAAACUGCCAGUCCCUGGUACAGUUUCCCCUUAAAUGUUGUAUUUCAACCUGAAGCAGUUAUGUGCACAAGUUACAUAAAAUAACUCAAUGUCCCUAUGGACUAUAUACUACCUUGAUCAUUGUAUGUUUAAGAAGAUACUUAAAUGAGAUUAAUGCAAUCAAUGCAAGAUUAACAAUAUUAAAAAUUUCCAUAACACUCCUCCCUUUUGAUCAUUAUUGAUCACUUAUAUUGAUUAAAUGUAGAUAAAUUUGUGAAACUUUACCCUUAUAGUUUACAUCAAUCAUGUAAAUUCAAGAUUUAAAACACCAUUACUAUCAUAAGGCGAAAAAAAAGCAUUUGCAUUGUUUUUUUAUGGAAUAUAGUCAUUCCUAACAUAUAAGCAAGCUAUAAAGAAAACAAACAACUCUUAUAUUUGAUUAUAGCUGUCAACCUGUGAAUUGCAUUAGUCAUGUUCUUAAUACCCACAUCUAUCACGUGGCCAUCAGCAUCGUUAUCAGGAAUAUACAUACACAUGCAGUUCCCAAAAGACAAGUCGGUCUUGCUGUGCAGUGAGCCUCAGCCCUCGUAUUUCCUUCUUGACGCCUUCCCUUACCACCUUAGUAGCGUUCAGUUCAUAUCUCCUGAUUUGGACUUCAAUUUGAAGAAGGCUGACCCCAAGCACCAGAACUACAGCAUGGAAGAACUUCUCCGCUCCGUUCCACAGCCUGUGUUCCCUCUUGUCGAGUUGGUCUUGUAGUUUCGCUGCAGUGGUCGGAUGGUAGGUUUUCUAACAGCUUAAGUCCCUCGCUGUCAUCCGUUGGCCCAAACUGACCCCAGAUCACUCCCACACAGUGAUGUUGCUGCGUGUUCAGCUCCCAUACACCACUGUAUGUUUGUUCACCUAAGUCAGCCAGACGUCCCCCUUGGCAUGGGGCAGCUGAUCAAUCACUUUACUGAGCUGUAGCCCUCUGGUGGCACUGGAACCUUCCUGCAGUGACUUGCAUGUACCCACGUAGCUCUCUCUGCCACUUUCACCACUGUGUGUUAUUAGCAAGACCUGAUAUCAUGCAAGACUCCUUCCGCUGGCUUGGGCAGAGCGUCCUUGACCUGCUGAGAUAUCUGAGAGAGAACAAGAGACAACUAUCGACAGUAGUUUAACGUCAUCUUCACACAAAGCUGUAGAAGGUAAUGGUCAUGGUUCUGGUCCUACUCCAAUGGAAGCUGGCCUGCCAAACCAAAUUUCAAAUGGACUGAGGUUAGACUUUGUUCUUUUUAUCAUUCUCAUAUACAUUAACACAAUGGGGAGUGCUUCUACCCAAGACAGUCCUGUCUGCUCACAACACUUCAUUAAUUUGUUCUUUAAUGUCCCACCUGAGUGAUGGCUUCAUUUGCAAAAGGUGUGCCAUUGUCACUCGUAUAUUAUAUGAUCAAAUCGCUGAUUUUGAAGUGGGUGUGCCACUUGAGGCAUCAUUUAUGGGAUCAGAAUCCCGCCAAAUGUAUUGCGGUCAUUGAUCGUAAAAUAAUAAGCAUGAAUCAAAAAUGUAAACACAUUUAAAAUUAUAUUGCACAAAACUGAAACAUGAAUUCAAAAUUUUCCAAAUCGCAAACAAAAUCAGGUUUCCUGCUCAUAUGUUAUUUUUUUGUGUGCUUAUGGUCUUUUCCCCUUUGCUCUUGUUUCCACGUUCU